CAGGGUAGAAUUGCUUCCAUCAAUCCUCCUAUCUCUCCUCACCGGAAGGCGAGUGUUUCCAUCCACCUGGUCUCUCCCCAUAAGGCGGUUCAUUCCUUCCACCAUGUCUUUCCUCCCCAAAAGGCGGUCCCUCCUCCCCGAAAGGUGGCCGCUCCUCCCCAUAAGGUGGUCUCUCCCCCCUGAAAGGUGGUCUCUCACCCCCGAAAGGUGGCCUAUCUUCCCCGUAAGGUGGUCUCUCGCCUCUGAAAGGUGGCCUAUCUUCCCCGUAAGGUGGUCUCUCCUCCCUGUAAGGUGGUCUCUCUUCCCCAUAAGGUGGUCUCUCCUCCCUGUAAGGUGGUCUCUCUUCCCCGUAAGGUGGCCUCUCCUCCCCAAAAGGUGGUCUCUCCUCCCCAAAAGGUGGUCUUUCUUCCCCAUAAGGCGGCUCAUUCCUCCCACCAUGUCUCUCCUCCCCAUAAGAUGGUUCAUUCCUUCCACCUAGUCUCUCCUCCCCAAGAGAUGAUUGUUUCCAUCCACCCGGUAUUUCCUCCCCAUCAGAUGACUGUUUCCAUCCACCAGAGCCCUCCUCACCAU
This 570-nucleotide long non-coding RNA is filed under the name Fragaria vesca (wild strawberry). Its description in RNAcentral is "long non-coding RNA (FVES_LNC003590)". The record is from RNAcentral. Lineage: Eukaryota; Viridiplantae; Streptophyta; Magnoliopsida; Rosales; Rosaceae.